AAGUGAAGAAAUUCAACCAAGCGCGGGUAAACGGCAGGAGUAACUAUGACUCUCUUAAGGUAGCCAAAUGCCUCAUCAUCUAAUUAGUGACACGUAUGAAUGGAUUAAUGAGAUUCCCACUAUCCCUGUCUACUAUCCAGUGAAACCACAUCCAAGGGAACGGGCUUGGCAGAAUCAGCGGGGAAAGAAGACCCUGUUGAGCUUGACUCUAGUCC
This 215-nucleotide non-coding RNA is filed under the name Gossypium arboreum. RNAcentral's name for it is "Eukaryotic large subunit ribosomal RNA". It matches the Rfam family "Eukaryotic large subunit ribosomal RNA", at positions 2220 to 2434 of the family's 3401-position model. The record is from Rfam by way of RNAcentral. Lineage: Eukaryota; Viridiplantae; Streptophyta; Magnoliopsida; Malvales; Malvaceae.